CGUAAAGCGAGCGCAGACGGUUACUUAAGCAGGAUGUGAAAUCCCCGGGCUCAACCUGGGAACUGCGUUCUGAACUGGGUGACUAGAGUGUGUCAGAGGGAGGUAGAAUUCCACGUGUAGCAGUGAAAUGCGUAGAGAUGUGGAGGAAUACCGAUGGCGAAGGCAGCCUCCUGGGAUAACACUGACGUUCAUGCUCGAAAGCGUGGGUAGCAAACAGGAUUAGAUACCCUGGUAGUCCACGCCCUAAACGAUGUCAAUUAGCUGUUGGGCAACUUGAUUGCUUAGUAGCGUAGCUAACGCGUGAAAUUGACCGCCUGGGGAGUACGGUCGCAAGAUUAAAACUCAAAGGAAUUGACGGGGACCCGCACAAGCGGUGGAUGAUGUGGAUUAAUUCGAUGCAACGCGAAGAACCUUACCUGGUCUUGACAUGUACGGAAUCCUCCAGAGACGGAGGAGUGCCUUCGGGAGCCGUAACACAGGUGCUGCAUGGCUGUCGUCAGCUCGUGUCGUGAGAUGUUGGAUUAAGUCCCGCAACGAGCGCAACCCUUGUCAUUAGUUGCCAUCAUUAAGUUGGGCACUCUAAUGAGACUGCCGGUGACAAGCCGGAGGAAGGUGGGGAUGACGUCAAGUCCUCAUGGCCCUUAUGACCAGGGCUUCACACGUCAUACAAUGGUCGGUACAGAGGGUAGCCAAGCCGCGAGGUGGAGCCAAUCUCACAAAACCGAUCGUAGUCCGGAUUGCACUCUGCAACUCGAGUGCAUGAAGUCGGAAUCG
Molecule: ribosomal RNA, 774 nt
Filed under: uncultured bacterium
Lineage: Bacteria
Description: bacterial SSU rRNA
Rfam family: Bacterial small subunit ribosomal RNA
Source: RNAcentral